GUCCUUAGUUACCUAGCACGUUAUGGUGGGCGACUCUAAGGAGACUGCCGGUGACAAACCGGAGGAAGGUGGGGAGUGACGUCAAGUCAUCAUGGCCCUUACGGCCUGGGCUACACACGUGCUACAAUGGUCGGUACAAAGGGUUGCCAAGCCGCGAGGUGGAGCUAAUCCCAUAAAACCGAUCGUAGUCCAGAUCGCAGUCUGCAACUCGACUGCGUGAAGUCGGAAUCGCUAGUAAUCGUGAAUCAGAAUGCCGCGGUGAAUACGUUCCCGGGCCUU
RNAcentral lists this ribosomal RNA (279 nucleotides) under uncultured Pseudomonas sp. RNAcentral's name for it is "partial 16S ribosomal RNA". It matches the Rfam family "Bacterial small subunit ribosomal RNA", at positions 1107 to 1382 of the family's 1533-position model. Lineage: Bacteria; Pseudomonadati; Pseudomonadota; Gammaproteobacteria; Pseudomonadales; Pseudomonadaceae. The record is from RNAcentral.